CCGAUGAUAGCUCAGCUGGUAGAGCAUGGGACUGUAGCAAGAAAAAUCUGUCAUCCUGUGGUCGGCGGUUCGAUUCCGUCUCAUCGGA
Naegleria gruberi is the source of this 88-nucleotide transfer RNA. It matches the Rfam family "tRNA". Rfam says of the family: Transfer RNA (tRNA) molecules are approximately 80 nucleotides in length. Their secondary structure includes four short double-helical elements and three loops (D, anti-codon, and T loops). Lineage: Eukaryota; Heterolobosea; Eutetramitea; Acrasida; Naegleriidae. The record is from Rfam.